This 589-nucleotide long non-coding RNA is filed under the name Homo sapiens (human). RNAcentral's name for it is "HSALNT0104326". Lineage: Eukaryota; Metazoa; Chordata; Mammalia; Primates; Hominidae. The record is from RNAcentral.
GGGGCCAUCUCAGGCCUUGCAGGGUGGGAACAUGCAUGCAGGAAUCACAAUAGCUCCCUUCAUGUGCCCAUCCUUCCAGGUCACUCAGUGGCCUUGGUCGGUGGGAGUCAGUGCUGCUGGACCCAUAGGUAGCCUCCAAAAGCAAAGAGAUUCACAGUGUGAGCGAAAUUCAACGUGAGGGGCUUCCUCCGCUGUGAGCUUUGAAAAUGAAGGGGCCAUGUGGCAAAGGAUAUGACGGGCUCCAGGAAUUGAGAACAGCUCCACCCCACCUCCACCUGACAGCUGCCCAGGAACAAGGACUACAAUCCCACAACUGCCUGAAACUGAAUUCUGCCACCAAGCUCUGUAUAAGCUGGAAGGAGGACCCCAGCCUCAAGAUGAGGACACAGCUUCGUGAAAUCCUGAGCUGAGAAUCAUUCACACCAGGCCUGGAUUUCUCAUUAAGGAAAUGUAGAGAAAUAAAUGGGUGCUGUGUAGAGCCAGUGAGUUAGUGGUAAUAUGUUAUGCAGUAACAGAAAAUUCAUACAUAGACCAACAGAUAAGCAUAUAACAUUUUCUCGAUUGGAAUAAAUUAGUGAAUUGAAAUGUA